RNAcentral lists this ribosomal RNA (425 nucleotides) under uncultured bacterium. RNAcentral describes it as "partial 16S ribosomal RNA". It matches the Rfam family "Bacterial small subunit ribosomal RNA", at positions 354 to 796 of the family's 1533-position model. The record is from RNAcentral.
GUGGGGAAUCUUGCGCAAUGGGCGAAAGCCUGACGCAGCCAUGCCGCGUGAAUGAUGUAGGUCUUAGGAUUGUAAAAUUCUUUCACCGGGGACGAUAAUGACGGUACCCGGAGAAGAAGCCCCGGCUAACUUCGUGCCAGCAGCCGCGGUAAUACGAAGGGGGCUAGCGUUGCUCGGAAUUACUGGGCGUAAAGGGCGCGUAGGCGGACAGUUUAGUCAGAGGUGAAAGCCCAGGGCUCAACCUUGGAAUUGCCUUUGAUACUGGCUGUCUUGAGUACGGGAGAGGUGAGUGGAACUCCGAGUGUAGAGGUGAAAUUCGUAGAUAUUCGGAAGAACACCAGUGGCGAAGGCGACUCACUGGCCCGUUACUGACGCUGAGGCGCGAAAGCGUGGGGAGCAAACAGGAUUAGAUACCCGGGUAGUCC